UACGUAGGGAGCAAGCGUUGUUCGGAUUUACUGGGCGUAAAGGGCGCGUAGGCGGCGCGGUAAGUCACUUGUGAAAUCUCUGAGCUUAACUCAGAACGGCCAAGUGAUACUGCAGUGCUAGAGUGCAGAAAGGGCAAUCGGAAUUCUUGGUGUAGCGGUGAAAUGCGUAGAUAUCAAGAGGAACACCUGAGGCGAAGGCGGGUCUCUGGGCCGAUACUGACGCUGAGGAGCGAAAGCGUGGGGAGCAAACAGG
RNAcentral lists this ribosomal RNA (253 nucleotides) under uncultured bacterium. RNAcentral describes it as "partial 16S ribosomal RNA". It matches the Rfam family "Bacterial small subunit ribosomal RNA", at positions 524 to 776 of the family's 1533-position model. The record is from RNAcentral.